RNAcentral lists this ribosomal RNA (479 nucleotides) under uncultured bacterium. Its description in RNAcentral is "bacterial SSU rRNA". It matches the Rfam family "Bacterial small subunit ribosomal RNA", at positions 31 to 503 of the family's 1533-position model. The record is from RNAcentral.
GAACGCUAGCGUAGGCUUAACACAUGCAAGUCGAGGGGCAGCGAGAUGUAGCAAUACAUUGUCGGCGACCGGCGAAUGGGUGCGUAACACGUAUGCAACUUACCUUUUAGAGGCGAAUAACCCGAUGAAAGUCGGACUAAUACGCCAUAUGCUCCCUUAGUCACAUGAUUAAUGGAGGAAAGAUUCAUCGCUAAGAGAUAGGCCUGCGUUCCAUUAGCUAGUUGGAGAGGUAACGGCUCACCAAGGCAACGAUGGAUAGGGGGACUGAGAGGUUGACCCCCCACAUUGACACUGAGAUACGGGUCAAACUCCUACGGGAGGCAGCAGUGAGGAAUAUUGGUCAAUGGGCGAAAGCCUGAACCAGCCAAGUCGCGUGAAGGAAGACUGCCCGCAAGGGUUGUAAACUUCUUUUGUAUGGGAUUAAAGGUGUCUACGAGUAGACAGUUGCAGUUACCAUACGAAUAAGCAUCGGCUGAUCC